Long non-coding RNA from Oreochromis aureus, 591 nucleotides. RefSeq lists it as uncharacterized. Lineage: Eukaryota; Metazoa; Chordata; Actinopteri; Cichliformes; Cichlidae. The transcript is spliced from 2 exons. The record is from RefSeq and is a predicted model, not a curated record.
GCGGUCAGUUGGUGUCUGCUCCAUAUUUGACUGAUCUGGAUAGGGCCCAUGUCAAAGGGCAACUUCAAGCUGGUGUUCAAGUUGUAGCAUUAUUUGGAUUGAGCCCUGUCUUCAAAUUGAAGGCCACGUUCUGUAUAACAGGGGAUGUCAAAGACAUACCGUGAAGUGUGCAACCCAAGAAGACGACACCACAAAGAGACAGUUUGCCUACAGAUCUCCGGGACUGAACUUCAUCCUCCAAGAUGACAACGCUCUCCUCCACAGAGUGGGCUUUAUCAGAGGCUACCUCGAGAAUUUGUGAGUCAAGAGGAUGGAAAGGCCUCUCUACAGUCAUGACCUCAACCUCAUUGAACAAUUGUGGGAUCAGCUUGGGCGUGCUGUUCAUGCCAGACUGACCAACAUGACCACAUUGGCUGACUUGCACCAAAUGCUGGUUGAAGAAUGGGAUGCCUUCCCACACCAAUGUGUAACCAAGCUGGUGACCAGCAUGAGAAGGAGGUGCCAGGCUGUGUAUUGUUCUUUCACUACUGAGGCCCCAGUGAAUAAAUCGGUUUCUUCAGACUUAAACCAUUAAUAUCAAUAAAUGACACU